Molecule: long non-coding RNA, 517 nt
Organism: Siniperca chuatsi (mandarin fish)
Lineage: Eukaryota; Metazoa; Chordata; Actinopteri; Centrarchiformes; Sinipercidae
Exons: 3
Source: RefSeq, a predicted model, not a curated record
ACACCCUCCAUCCAAGAGAGCACGUCUGGAUGAAGUACCGUCUGCUGCAGCGGGAAGCGACUAUGAUGCUGAUUCCAGUGCGUCAACAGUUCAUCUAUCACCACCUUCAAGAUCAAGCACUCCACGACAAGAAAAUGACAGCAUUGAUGAAGCAUCCGGUGGUCCAGACAACAGCCUUGACAGCCAGAAAACACAGGCACGACAUUACAGGACUCUACAAGAAAUGUACAAAGCAAAGAAGCCAAACAAAGCUGCUGUAACUCAUCUAUUAGACCUGGAGUUCCAGUCCAGAAGAAAUUUCAUUGACUCAGAAGUUUUGAAGGAGCAAGACAGACCCACAAAAAUUUUACAGGCAUACCCGUGCUUCAAAGAUCUGGACCAUGCAAUGGAUGAACUGCAGAGAAUCAUUGAGCCUAACAAUUGCUGAUACAUUUCUGAGGUGAAAGGCAGGUGGGAGACCUUCUACUCCAAAGUUCAGUUUUAUGGCGUCAUGAAGAAAGUCAUGAAGCCUCCAAGG